GACCGCCUGGGGAGUACGGCCGCAAGGUUAAAACUCAAAUGAAUUGACGGGGGCCCGCACAAGCGGUGGAGCAUGUGGUUUAAUUCGAUGCAACGCGAAGAACCUUACCUGGUCUUGACAUCCACGGAAGUUUUCAGAGAUGAGAAUGUGCCUUCGGGAACCGUGAGACAGGUGCUGCAUGGCUGUCGUCAGCUCGUGUUGUGAAAUGUUGGGUUAAGUCCCGCAACGAGCGCAACCC
Molecule: ribosomal RNA, 238 nt
Filed under: Escherichia coli
Lineage: Bacteria; Pseudomonadati; Pseudomonadota; Gammaproteobacteria; Enterobacterales; Enterobacteriaceae
Description: partial 16S ribosomal RNA
Rfam family: Bacterial small subunit ribosomal RNA
Source: RNAcentral